UGGCCCAUUCUAACUCCUCCUUGUCAGCCUAUGGCUUGCCAGGUUUUGCUUGUGGACCACAGCACCGUCGAAACUUGUCCCAGAUGAAUGAACAAGGCCUCUUGUGGGCUCAUGCUACAGGAACUUCUGGACACUU
Molecule: small nucleolar RNA, 136 nt
Organism: Cavia porcellus (domestic guinea pig)
Lineage: Eukaryota; Metazoa; Chordata; Mammalia; Rodentia; Caviidae
Source: Ensembl